AAAGUCGUAACAAGGUUUCCGUAGGUGAACCUGCGGAAGGAUCAUUAACGAGCCAGCCUCCGCGAUUACCGCGGGAAGCCCGGCGGGCCGUCCGUAAUGCGGGCGCCUGUCCGUGGUGACCGCGUCUUCCGGGGGCUACAGCCUCCAACCGUGUCUACCUUUACCUGUUGCCUCGGCGGACCGCACCCCGGUGCGGCCGGCCUAACCCGCCGGCCAGCGUCCGCCAGAGGAAACCAAAACCUCAACCUUCAUGUGGAACGUCUGAGUAACUAUUGAAAAUAGUUUAAAACUUUCAACAACGGAUCUCUUGGUUCCA
Molecule: unclassified non-coding RNA, 316 nt
Filed under: Ascomycota sp.
Lineage: Eukaryota; Fungi; Ascomycota
Description: partial contains small subunit ribosomal RNA, internal transcribed spacer 1, and 5.8S ribosomal RNA
Rfam family: Eukaryotic small subunit ribosomal RNA (bases 1-47)
Source: RNAcentral